RNAcentral lists this unclassified non-coding RNA (520 nucleotides) under uncultured Glomus. RNAcentral's name for it is "SSU rRNA". It matches the Rfam family "Eukaryotic small subunit ribosomal RNA", at positions 569 to 1089 of the family's 1831-position model. The record is from RNAcentral. Lineage: Eukaryota; Fungi; Glomeromycota; Glomeromycetes; Glomerales; Glomeraceae.
AGCAGCCGCGGUAAUUCCAGCUCCAAUAGCGUAUAUUAAAGUUGUUGCAGUUAAAAAGCUCGUAGUUGAAUUUCGGGAUCAAUUAGUCGGUCGUGCCUCUGGUACGUACUGGUUUUAUUGGUUCCUCCCUUCUGACGAAACAUGAUGUCAUUAAUUUGGUGUCGUGGAGAAUCAGGACUGUUACCUUGAAAAAAUUAGAGUGUUUAUAGCAGGCUAACGCUUGAAUACAUUAGCAUGGGAUAAUGAAAUAGGACGUUCGACCCUAUUUUGUUGGUUUCUAGGAUCGACGUAAUGAUUAAUAGGGAUAGUUGGGGGCAUUAGUAUUCAAUUGUCAGAGGUGAAAUUCUUGGAUUUAUUGAAGACUAACUACUGCGAAAGCAUUUGCCAAGGAUGUUUUCAUUAAUCAAGAACGAAAGUUAGGGGAUCGAAGACGAUCAGAUACCGUCGUAGUCUUAACCAUAAACUAUGCCGACUAGGGAUCGGAUGAUGUUAAUUUUUUUAAUGACUCAUUCGGCGCCUU